GAUGAACGCUGGCGGCGUGCCUAAUACAUGCAAGUCGAGCGAACAGACGAGGAGCUUGCUCCUCUGACGUUAGCGGCGGACGGGUGAGUAACACGUGGAUAACCUACCUAUAAGACUGGGAUAACUUCGGGAAACCGGAGCUAAUACCGGAUAAUAUAUUGAACCGCAUGGUUCAAUAGUGAAAGAGGGUUUUGCUGUCACUUAUAGAUGGAUCCGCGCUGCAUUAGCUAGUUGGUAAGGUAACGGCUUACCAAGGCAACGAUGCGUAGCCGACCUGAGAGGGUGAUCGGCCACACUGGAACUGAGACACGGUCCAGACUCCGACGGGAGGCAGCAGUAGGGAAUCUUCCGCAAUGGGCGAAAGCCUGACGGAGCAACGCCGCGUGAGUGAUGAAGGUCUUCGGAUCGUAAAACUCUGUUAUUAGGGAAGAACAAAUGUGUAAGUAACUAUGCACGUCUUGACGGUACCUAAUCAGAAAGCCACGGCUAACUACGUG
RNAcentral lists this ribosomal RNA (497 nucleotides) under uncultured bacterium. RNAcentral describes it as "partial 16S ribosomal RNA". It matches the Rfam family "Bacterial small subunit ribosomal RNA", at positions 28 to 507 of the family's 1533-position model. The record is from RNAcentral.